This 518-nucleotide ribosomal RNA is filed under the name uncultured bacterium. RNAcentral describes it as "bacterial SSU rRNA". It matches the Rfam family "Bacterial small subunit ribosomal RNA", at positions 8 to 518 of the family's 1533-position model. The record is from RNAcentral.
AGAGUUGAUCAUGGCUCAGGAUGAACGCUAGCGACAGGCUUAACACAUGCAAGUCGAGGGGCAGCAGUAAAAGUAGCAAUACUUGGUGGCGACCGGCGCACGGGUGAGUAACGCGUAUGCAACCUACCUAUCAGAGGGGAAUAACCCGGCGAAAGUCGGACUAAUACCGCAUAAAACAGGGACACCGCAUGGUGAUAUUUGUUAAAGAAAUUCGCUGAUAGAUGGGCAUGCGUUCCAUUAGGUAGUUGGUGAGGUAACGGCUCACCAAGCCGACGAUGGAUAGGGGAACUGAGAGGUUGGUCCCCCACACUGGUACUGAGACACGGACCAGACUCCUACGGGAGGCAGCAGUGAGGAAUAUUGGUCAAUGGGCGAGAGCCUGAACCAGCCAAGUCGCGUGAAGGAAGAAGGAUCUAUGGUUCGUAAACUUCUUUUGCAGGGGAAUAAAGUGCAGGACGUGUCCUGUUUUGUAUGUACCCCUGAGAAUAAGGAUCGGCUAACUCCGUGCCAGCCGCGGC